This 449-nucleotide ribosomal RNA is filed under the name uncultured bacterium. Its description in RNAcentral is "bacterial SSU rRNA". It matches the Rfam family "Bacterial small subunit ribosomal RNA", at positions 329 to 792 of the family's 1533-position model. The record is from RNAcentral.
UACCAGACUCCUACGGGAGGCAGCAGUGGGGAAUAUUGCACAAUGGGCGAAAGCCUGAUGCAGCAACGCCGCGUGAAGGAAGAAGGGUUUCGGCUCGUAAACUUCUAUCAACAGGGACGAAAGAAAUGACGGUACCUGAAUAAGAAGCCCCGGCUAACUACGUGCCAGCAGCCGCGGUAAUACGUAGGGGGCAAGCGUUAUCCGGAAUUACUGGGCGUAAAGAGAGCGUAGGCGGCACUACAAGUCUCAUGUGAAAUACCCGGGCUUAACUUGGGGGUUGCAUGGGAAACUGUAGAGCUUGAGUACAGGAGAGGCAAGCGGAAUUCCUAGUGUAGCGGUGAAAUGCAUAGAUAUUAGGAGGAACACCAGUGGCGAAGGCGGCUUGCUGGACGAUGACUGACGUUGAGGCUCGAAAGCGUGGGGAGCAAACAGGAUUAGAUACCCUUGUA